CCCUUAGAUGUUCUGGGCCGCACGCGCGCUACACUGACGAUGUCAGAGAGUGUCUCCUUCACCGAGAGGUGUGGGUAAUCUUUUAAACAUCGUCGUGCUGGGGAUAGAUCAUUGCAAUUUUUGAUCUUAAACGAGGAAUUCCUAGUAAGCGCGAGUCGUCAGCUCGCGCUGAUUACGUCCCUGCCCUUUGUACACACCGCCCGUCGCUACUCCCGAUUGAAUGGUUUAGUGAGGCCUUCUGACUGGCGCCGCUACUCUGGCAACAGAGCGGCGGAUGCCGGGAAGUUGGUCAAACUUGAUCAUUUAGAGGAAGUAAAAGUCGUAACA
RNAcentral lists this ribosomal RNA (327 nucleotides) under uncultured eukaryote. Its description in RNAcentral is "partial 18S ribosomal RNA". It matches the Rfam family "Eukaryotic small subunit ribosomal RNA", at positions 1470 to 1796 of the family's 1831-position model. The record is from RNAcentral.